Molecule: ribosomal RNA, 759 nt
Filed under: uncultured Neisseriaceae bacterium
Lineage: Bacteria; Pseudomonadati; Pseudomonadota; Betaproteobacteria; Neisseriales; Neisseriaceae
Description: bacterial SSU rRNA
Rfam family: Bacterial small subunit ribosomal RNA
Source: RNAcentral
AUUGAACGCUGGCGGCAUGCUUUACACAUGCAAGUCGGACGGCAGCAUAAAAGAGCUUGCUCUUUUGAUGGCGAGUGGCGAACGGGUGAGUAAUGCAUCGGAACGUACCGAGUAGUGGGGGAUAACUGUCCGAAAGGAUGGCUAAUACCGCAUAUUCUCUGAGGAGGAAAGCAGGGGACCUUAGGGCCUUGCGCUAUUUGAGCGGCCGAUGUCUGAUUAGCUAGUUGGUGGGGUAAGAGCCCACCAAGGCGACGAUCAGUAGCGGGUCUGAGAGGAUGAUCCGCCACACUGGGACUGAGACACGGCCCAGACUCCUACGGGAGGCAGCAGUGGGGAAUUUUGGACAAUGGGCGCAAGCCUGAUCCAGCCAUGCCGCGUGUAUGAAGAAGGCCUUCGGGUUGUAAAGUACUUUUGUCAGGGAAGAAAAGCCUGAGGAUAACACCCUCAGGUCAUGACGGUACCUGAAGAAUAAGCACCGGCUAACUACGUGCCAGCAGCCGCGGUAAUACGUAGGGUGCGAGCGUUAAUCGGAAUUACUGGGCGUAAAGCGAGCGCAGGCGGUUAUUUAAGCAAGAUGUGAAAGCCCCGGGCUCAACCUGGGAACUGCGUUUUGAACUGGGUAACUAGAGUGUGUCAGAGGGGGGUAGAAUUCCACGUGUAGCAGUGAAAUGCGUAGAGAUGUGGAGGAAUACCGAUGGCGAAGGCAGCCCCCUGGGAUAACACUGACGUUCAUGCUCGAAAGCGUGGGUAGCAAACAGG